Molecule: ribosomal RNA, 490 nt
Filed under: uncultured bacterium
Lineage: Bacteria
Description: partial 16S ribosomal RNA
Rfam family: Bacterial small subunit ribosomal RNA
Source: RNAcentral
AUUGAACGCUGGCGGCAGGCCUAACACAUGCAAGUCGAACGGUAACAGGAAGAAGCUUGCUUCUUUGCUGACGAGUGGCGGGCGGGUGAGUAAUGUCUGGGAAACUGCCUGAUGGAGGGGGAUAACUACUGGAAACGGUAGCUAAUACCGCAUAACGUCGCAAGACCAAAGAGGGGGACCUUCUGGCCUCUUGCCCUCGGAUGUGCCCAGAUGGGAUUAGCUAGUAGGUGGGGUAACGGCUCACCUAGGCGACGAUCCCUAGCUGGUCUGAGAGGAUGACCAGCCACACUGGAACUGAGACACGGUCCAGACUCCUACGGGAGGCAGCAGUGGGGAAUAUUGCACAAUGGGCGCAAGCCUGAUGCAGCCAUGCCGCGUGUAUGAAGAAGGCCUUCGGGUUGUAAAGUACUUUCAGCGGGGAGGAAGGGAGUAAAGUUAAUACCUUUGCUCAUUGACGUUACCCGCAGAAGAAGCACCGGCUAACUCCGUG